Molecule: long non-coding RNA, 833 nt
Organism: Ooceraea biroi (clonal raider ant)
Lineage: Eukaryota; Metazoa; Arthropoda; Insecta; Hymenoptera; Formicidae
Source: RefSeq, a predicted model, not a curated record
CGUUAACAUGUCGUUUCAACCAACCAAUCCAUUGCAUAAGUUCAUUGGUGUGAAAAAAGAUCCUUUGGAUGGAAUGUCGCAUUGCAAUGUUGUUUACAAGAUUUCAUGCAAUGAGUGCGACGCUUCAUACGUAGGACAGAACAAGCGCCAACUGCACACUAGAGUCAACGAACACCGAAGAGACAUUAAUAAGAGAUCGGGCUCUCCUUCGGUCAUUUCUACCCAUAAGUCGGAGUCAGGGCAUGAUUUUAAUUGGAAUCAUGUUGAAAUCUUGGACGAGGAAAUUGCAUAUAAAAAACGAAUGGUAUCUGAGAUGAUAAAUAUUAAGAGGCAAUUAAAUCCUCUUAAUUUACAAAGUGACACUUUGGCGUUACCUGAUGUUUAUUCACCUAUUUUGAAUACUUUUCCAUCUAAAUAGCUUUGGCUACCGAUUUAUCUGCUUGUUUACGUAAUGCUGACUGUGAUGUUUGUGAUCUUAGUCGCGGUUGGAACGUCGGAGAGAUAUGACUGUAUUCUAUUCUCUAUUUUAUUAGUGUGACCACGUAGAUUUAUGACUGAUCACGCCAUGUAUAUAAUGUACUCCGAUGACUUUGAUCGCGCCUUGGAUUUAAUAAUGUACUCCGAUGAUUUUUGCCUGCCUCUUAUAAAUUUGCGAUGCUCUGUUCUGUCUGAUUGAAAUGUCGAUUGAAUAACAGCGAUGUGAUUCUUCGUUGGACGUACUCCGCUGGUUUUUUUCAACACUGAAGAUGGUCAAAUGUUGACCGAAACGUUUGUGUAGUUCCAAAUAUGGAAAAAUUUUUGGUUUAAUAAAUAUCAGCACCGUCAACCUGCUA